Long non-coding RNA from Phyllostomus discolor (pale spear-nosed bat), 2492 nucleotides. RefSeq lists it as uncharacterized. Lineage: Eukaryota; Metazoa; Chordata; Mammalia; Chiroptera; Phyllostomidae. The record is from RefSeq and is a predicted model, not a curated record. The transcript is spliced from 2 exons.
ACCAUGGCAAAUCAGUCAACAUCCGGUUUUAGGUUCCCUCCUGGCUCAAGAUUCCUGAGGGGCUUGUGGAGAUCAGCUGCUUUGGAGGGCGACGUGUUCCAAGGGAGACCCUCGGCUCUUACUCGACAGUUGAACUGGAGUGUUGACCUAGAAGUCCCCCCAGCAAAAAAACACGGAGAAGUCCCCCACAAACCUGGCUUGGGGAAUGGGAAAGCUUACCGUGCCUGCGCCAGAAGCAGAAAUCCCCGCCAGAGGCAGGGACCUCCGCCACACGUAGGAGGUUCAGGCAGUAGACACCUGCUGGCCUCCAAAUGAGUCUGCAUCACAACUGGAUAGAGCCCUUGGAUGAACCACCAGUCUGGAAUGGGCAGUGGAGAGCCACCGGUCAUCUGCUGGCCCUCCAUCCUGAGAUAACAGCUCAGAGCCUCCUCCAGGAGGCAUGUGGUGAGGGAGUAAGAGGCGUCCACAAGGCCUCAGCACAGAUUCUUCCAAAUCUGCACCACAGCGUUCACCUUGGUGAAGGACCAACCUCCCCAACCCUGAAUGCCAGCAACAUCUUCCACCUGGAAGCAUUAGCCAUCUCCAUGAUUAGUCACUCUGUUUGGCUGAUGAAGACCACUCACAUCUGUAGGAUGGGUGCUGUGGUUAUACCCUCUGGGUUGGAAUCCAAGGACUACCAGGACACUGAGUGACCUGCAGCAAGUCACCUUCCUCUCUGAGCCUCAGUUUUCCUCAUCUGUAAAAUGGAGAUCAGAAGCCUAUCCAUAGGGUUUAUGUGAGCUAAAUAAGGUGACAUACGUUAAGUGCUCAGCACACUGCCUGGCCCAUAGCCAGCAGGCAAUAGAUGUAAGCUAAUUAUUACCUUCCAAAAAACUCUUCUUGAGAUCCAAAAUACCUUCUCACCUAUUAUUUAAGUGAGGAGGACAGAGCGAAUGUCCUCAUUUCACAGAUGGGGAAACAUGGGGUUCAGUGACAUCCCCAAGGUCACACGGUUGAUGGGCAGAAGCCAGGAGAUCCAACUCUUAGCCCAGGAGCCUCCUCUGUAGGUCUGCUCUUUAAAUCACCUGUGAGGCUCAUCUGGAGGGAACAGAGGUGCUGCACCCAAAGCACUGAGCCUGGGGGGAGCAGGAAGGCCACUUUUAUGUCAGUGGGGUUGUAAUCUGUUACGACACUGGGCAGGAGGAAAGGGAAAUUGAGGCUUAACCUAUUUGCCCAAACAAAGAGGAAGUGGAUGGUCUGGGUGCCCAAGCUCUGGGGGAGGGAAAAGGCCUUUAUCACCCUGGGCAGCCCAUCCUGACCAUGGCGGUGGAGUUGCAGCUGCUCCAGAGGGUUUCCCUGAGUUCUAGAGCUGCAUUAAAGCCCAAGCUUUGGGCUUUGGCAGCCUGCCUCUGGGGCCACAUCCUAGGUGUGAUUGGGGGCAGGGGUUGAACUGUUUCCUCUUCUAAAAGUGGGGCUGUUGUUCCAAGGCUAAAAUGAAGUAAUGCAUGCAGAAUGCUUAGCACCGUGCACAGAACAUUGCUGUUGCAGAAGACCGAGUGUCCCUCAGCUUUGGAGCAUUGACAUUCCAUUUGACCAAAGAAGAGUUUUUAGCAAAAGAGAUGGCUUUCUAGAGUGAAUCUGAGGAAACAAGCACAUGGCCUGAUGUGCUGAGGGGGAAGAGUGUUUCCUUCCCACUGCGAAGAGGACUGAAAUCUGGGAAUGGCGGAUGAGCUCCUGUUCAAAGGCCGAGACCGUCCCCAAGGUGGAGUCUGCCCUUUUUACCACCUGGCCAUGGGUAUCCAUAGCUGGCAGAGUGUGUCUGGGUGAAGAGAAACAGUAUGACCACUCCUCUAACCGGGCAUCCUGAGGCCCGGAAAUCCUCCUUACUCCAAAAUUAAACCUUUCUUCACUUGUCACUUCAACCCUGCCCUCAUUCUGCUCAGGACCCCUCUUUUGGUAAGGAAUCACGUUCAGCUGCUGGAACAGAGACCUGGUGACAGUGGCCUAAACACACAGGGUGAAUUCUUUCAUAUCCAGGAAGUAAGGAGGUAGAUGGGAAGUUCAGGCUGGCAUGGUGGCUCCACAGUCUUCAGGGUCCUGGGCUUCCUCGGCUUUUCUGCUUUACCCUCCACACUGUGUGACUUCCAUCCUCAGUGUCGCCUCAUGCUCCAAAGAUGGGCUGCAGGAGCUCCAACCAUCACAUUCACAAUCCAGGCUGACGCCUGGACUCAGUACAAAGGAAGAGAGGAAGAGCCAAAAGGCUCACAGCCCAGCCAACUCAUCUUCCUUUAAACCAGUUACAUCUGAUUGGCCAGAAAUUAGUAAUUUAACUGAAUGUAGCUGGAGAAAGGGCUGGGAAAUAUAGUCUUUAAUUUUAGUGCAUUGUAGCCUUCCACCCUCCCUUCAAAUAAAAUCCAGUCCCCACUGGGGCCUUGUAUAGAAGAAGGAAGGUUGGCCCUUUUCAAAUUCACCAAUGACACCAUAGAGGCCAGUAGUAGCCCUAGAAGUGAGGA